Molecule: ribosomal RNA, 254 nt
Filed under: uncultured bacterium
Lineage: Bacteria
Description: partial 16S ribosomal RNA
Rfam family: Bacterial small subunit ribosomal RNA
Source: RNAcentral
UACGGUAGGGGGCUAGCGUUGUCCGGAAUCAUUGGGCGUAAAGAGCGUGUAGGCGGUCCGGUAAGUCCGCUGUGAAAGUCGGGGGCUCAACCCUCGAAUGCCGGUGGAUACUGUCGGGCUAGAGUACGGAAGAGGCGAGUGGAAUUCCUGGUGUAGCGGUGAAAUGCGCAGAUAUCAGGAGGAACACCUAUUGCGAAGGCAGCUCGCUGGGACGUAACUGACGCUGAGACGCGAAAGCCAGGGGAGCGAACGGG